GAUGAACGCUGGCGGCGUGCCUAAUACAUGCAAGUCGAGCGAACAGACGAGGAGCUUGCUCCUCUGACGUUAGCGGCGGACGGGUGAGUAACACGUGGAUAACCUACCUAUAAGACUGGGAUAACUUCGGGAAACCGGAGCUAAUACCGGAUAAUAUAUUGAACCGCAUGGUUCAAUAGUGAAAGACGGUUUUGCUGUCACUUAUAGAUGGAUCCGCGCCGCAUUAGCUAGUUGGUAAGGUAACGGCUUACCAAGGCAACGAUGCGUAGCCGACCUGAGAGGGUGAUCGGCCACACUGAAACUGAGACACGGUCCAGACUCCUACGGGAGGCAGCAGUAGGGAAUCUUCCGCAAUGGGCGAAAGCGUGACGGAGCAACGCCGCGUGAGUGAUGAAGGUCUUCGGAUCGUAAAACUCUGUUAUUAGGGAAGAACAAAUGUGAAAGUAACUAUGCACGUCUUGACGGUACCUAAUCAGAAAGCCACGGCUAACUACGUG
RNAcentral lists this ribosomal RNA (497 nucleotides) under uncultured bacterium. Its description in RNAcentral is "partial 16S ribosomal RNA". It matches the Rfam family "Bacterial small subunit ribosomal RNA", at positions 28 to 507 of the family's 1533-position model. The record is from RNAcentral.